AGAAUCAACGCUGGCGGCGUGCCUAACACAUGCAAGUCGAACGAGAAAGUGGAGCAAUCCAUUAGUAAAGUGGCGCACGGGUGAGUAACACGUGACUAACCUACCCUUGAGUGGGGGAUAACCUAGAGAAAUCUGGGCUAAUACCGCAUAAUACCUUCGGGUCAAAGGAGCAAUUCGCUUAAGGAGGGGGUCGCGGCCGAUUAGUUAGUUGGCGGGGUAAUGGCCCACCAAGACGAUGAUCGGUAUCCGGCCUGAGAGGGCGCACGGACACACUGGAACUGAAACACGGUCCAGACUCCUACGGGAGGCAGCAGUGGGGAAUUUGCGCAAUGGGGGAAACCCUGACGCAGCAACGCCGCGUGGAGGAUGAAGCCCCUUGGGGCGUAAACUCCUUUCGAUCGGGACGAUAAUGACGGUACCGAGAGAAGAAGCCCCGGCUAACUUCGUGCCAGCAGCCGC
RNAcentral lists this ribosomal RNA (459 nucleotides) under uncultured bacterium. Its description in RNAcentral is "SSU rRNA". It matches the Rfam family "Bacterial small subunit ribosomal RNA", at positions 26 to 518 of the family's 1533-position model. The record is from RNAcentral.